This 451-nucleotide ribosomal RNA is filed under the name uncultured bacterium. RNAcentral describes it as "partial 16S ribosomal RNA". It matches the Rfam family "Bacterial small subunit ribosomal RNA", at positions 28 to 507 of the family's 1533-position model. The record is from RNAcentral.
GAUGAACGCUGGCGGCGUGCCUAACACAUGCAAGUCGUGCGGCAGCGCGGGGUGCUUGCUCCCUGUCGGCGAGCGGCGGACGGAUGAGUAACGCGAGGGAACGUGCCCCAAAGUGAGGAAUAACUGCACGAAAGGGUAGCUAAUACCGCAUAUUAUCUUCGGAUCAAAGGAUUUUUACGCUUUGGGAGCGGCUCGCGUCGGUUUAGGUAGUUGGCGAGGUAGUGGCACACCAAGCCGCCGAGCCGUAGCUGGUCGGCGAGGGUGACCAGCCAGACUGGCACAGGGACACGAUCCAUACUCCUACGAGAGGUAGCGGUGAGGAAUCAUCCGCAAUGAGCGAGAGGCUGCUGGAGCGAGUCCGCGAUGAGGACGAAGGCGUUCUGGUUGUAAACUGCUAUGAUAGGUGAUGAAUAUGACGGUAACUGAUGAAUAAGGAUCGGCUAACUACGUG